AUGUUCUCUGUAGCUUUGCUACUGCUACUGGUUUCUGGAUCCUGUGUAAAGUGUGAGCAGUUGACACAGCCAGGCUCUGAGACUGUGCAGCCAGGUCACAAUCUGACCAUCACCUGUCAGGUCUCUUAUUCUGUGGGCAACUGGUACACAGCUUGGAUCAGACAGCCUGCAGGGAAAGAACUGGAGUGGAUUGGGAUGCAAUUUACUGGGGGCUUUCUCUACAAAGAUUUAAAGUUCCCCAUUGACUUAGACACAUCAAGCAACACAGUGACUCUUAAUGGACAGAGCAUGCAGCCUGAAGACACUGCUGUGUAUUACUGUGCCAGAUACCACAGUAACACAAAACACGAGUAA
Molecule: non-coding RNA, 354 nt
Organism: Archocentrus centrarchus (flier cichlid)
Lineage: Eukaryota; Metazoa; Chordata; Actinopteri; Cichliformes; Cichlidae
Source: the annotation of a RefSeq genome assembly